UGUGUUGUGUCUCUAUUAGCU
RNAcentral lists this non-coding RNA (21 nucleotides) under Caenorhabditis elegans. Lineage: Eukaryota; Metazoa; Nematoda; Chromadorea; Rhabditida; Rhabditidae. The record is from RNAcentral.